Scleropages formosus (Asian bonytongue) is the source of this 137-nucleotide small nucleolar RNA. NCBI's taxonomy places the organism in Eukaryota, Metazoa, Chordata, Actinopteri, Osteoglossiformes, Osteoglossidae. The record is from Ensembl.
GGAGCCCUUAAUCAAGGCCUGUAGCUUGUUGUAGCUACUGGUUUCAAACAGAGGCUAAAAGUAAGAUCCUUCCAACAGUUUGUUGGUUUUCUCCUGAAUUUAAAGGGGGAGGCCCAGGUUGGUUGGAAGAAACAGUU